Molecule: ribosomal RNA, 253 nt
Filed under: uncultured bacterium
Lineage: Bacteria
Description: partial 16S ribosomal RNA
Rfam family: Bacterial small subunit ribosomal RNA
Source: RNAcentral
UACGAAGGGGACUAGCGUUGUUCGGAAUUACUGGGCGUAAAGCGAGUGUAGGCGGCUUGGUAAGUCGGAUGUGAAAGCCCCGGGCUCAACCCGGGAAGUGCACUCGAUACUGCCAAGCUAGAGUAUCGGAGAGGUUGGUGGAAUUCUCGGUGUAGAGGUGAAAUUCGUAGAUAUCGAGAGGAACACCGGUGGCGAAGGCGGCCAACUGGACGAAUACUGACGCUGAGACUCGAAAGCGUGGGGAGCAAACAGG